RNAcentral lists this long non-coding RNA (1638 nucleotides) under Equus caballus (horse). Its description in RNAcentral is "lncRNA (ENSECAG00000029078.3)". The record is from RNAcentral. Lineage: Eukaryota; Metazoa; Chordata; Mammalia; Perissodactyla; Equidae.
GGAAAUUCAGACACAGAUACACACACAGGAAGAGCACCACGUGAAGAUGAAGGGAGAAAUGGGAGUGAUGCUUGUGCAAGCCAAGAGCUGUCAAAGAUUGCCAGCAAACCACCAGAAGCCAGAGGAGAGGCAUGGAGCAGACUCUGACAGCCCUCAGAAGGAACCCACCCUGGCAGACACCUUGAUUUCAGACUUCUAGCCUCCAGAACUGUGAGACAGGAAAUUUCUGUUGUUAGAGCUGCCCAGUCUGUGAUACUUAAGCUCUACCAGAUUAAUACAACGUCACUGAAAUACUCUGUGGGUUAAAAACCAGAAAGUGGCAUAGAGAGAACUGAUGGAGACUUAUUCAGUAGUGCAGCUCUGAAGACUCCUGGAGAUCUUGGCAAGCUUUUCCAUCAACUGCAUCAACCAACAAGCGUUGCUACGUCAAGGAAGAAAGGUAUGCAGAUACAGAGGCGGGGAACAGACAACAAGAACAACAAUGAUGACAUCAGUGACAACAAAAACAGGAUGACAUUAUCUUUCAGGCAUUGCAGACCCAUCUGAGAUGGGUUUCUGCCGGGAGCCGCCCACCAGUCAGCUAAGCCUCUGCCCAAGGGCAAGGUCCGGAAGAGAGAUGAGGGAACGCACGGCGGACCCUCAGAAGAUGGCGGUCGGCCGCUCCUGAUCCUACUUAUGCUACUAAUCUUAGCAAUAUUGCUCUUGCUGUUCUUUUUCUGUACAUGGGAUAUCUUGGGGAAAAUCUCUCCAUGCAGGGGAAAGAAGCUGGUGUAACCUGGCCUUCUAGGGGGGGUUCAGGGGAACAACAGCCUGAAGGGAAAAAACCUUCGGACCCCCUCCUGGAAAGGCGGUAAGGGAGCUUGGACAGCCCUCAAGGAGGAAGCCUUCUAAUAAUCAGCCUCUAAGGAGAGCAUUCCCUCCUCAGGUCCUUCUAGGAGGUAGAUGUUAUCCUAGGCCUGGUAGGACAGAAGGUAAAUGGUGGCACCCACCCAGGGGCAGAGGCAUACAAAAACUACCCCUUCCUAAGGCAACUCACGAUCCUGAUAAAGUUGCAGAAAAAUAUCAUAGUAUAGUAACACAGGGAAAUUGGGAUUAUGGUGAGGUCUGGGAACCCUACAAUACAGUUAAUGGUAAAAGAGAAACCCCAAGCACUGUGCCCGUGUGGCUUGCGAUCAGACGGAGCUGGGGGCCUGUAUGUAUUUUGGUCCCCUUACACUUUGCAAUACUUCUGCUUUCAUUAUUAUCGGAAUAAAGAUAGAGGCUUAGGGCCAUUCGACUCAUGGGGAACUAAGUCUAGACAUUACACCCCGUUUUGUAAUCAGUCUUAAACAUCUAGACGCCUAGUAGAUAUACAGAAAAGGUCAAUAUCUGUAAUUAACAAAGGUUGCUUGCUUCUCACAUACUGUGCUAAUGUUGUAACAAGAUAUGCUUAUGUACCCAUUUUGUUUGCCAAAAUUAUGUACUGAGACAAUUCCAUGAAAUCAUAAGCGCGUGACCUGGACCCUAUAUAAGUGCUUGAAUGCUUUGAAUAAAUCAGACUUGGAAACCUCACUUCCAGUCUCACCGUAACUUCUUUUUUCUCCGAGGCCGUUCAUCCCUCAGGAACCCUACCGGCUGGAGCUGGACUCCGGCAGGUUU